GAUGAACGCUGACAGAAUGCUUAACACAUGCAAGUCAACUUGAACUUCGGUUUGGGUGGCGGACGGGUGAGUAACGCGUAAAGAACUUGCCUCACAGCUAGGGACAACAUUUGGAAACGAAUGCUAAUACCUGAUAUUAUGAUUUUAGGGCAUCCUAGAAUUAUGAAAGCUAUAUGCGCUGUGAGAGAGCUUUGCGUCCCAUUAGCUAGUUGGAGAGGUAACGGCUCACCAAGGCGAUGAUGGGUAGCCGGCCUGAGAGGGUGAACGGCCACAAGGGGACUGAGACACGGCCCUUACUCCUACGGGAGGCAGCAGUGGGGAAUAUUGGACAAGGGACCAAGAGUCUGAUCCAGCAAUUCUGUGUGCACGAUGAAGUUUUUCGGAAUGUAAAGUGCUUUCAGUUGGGAAGAAAAAAAUGACGGUACCAACAGAAGAAGUGACGGCUAAAUACGUG
RNAcentral lists this ribosomal RNA (454 nucleotides) under uncultured bacterium. Its description in RNAcentral is "partial 16S ribosomal RNA". It matches the Rfam family "Bacterial small subunit ribosomal RNA", at positions 28 to 507 of the family's 1533-position model. The record is from RNAcentral.